AGUGGGGAAUAUUGGACAAUGGGCGCAAGCCUGAUCCAGCCAUGCCGCGUGUGUGAAGAAGGCCUUUUGGUUGUAAAGCACUUUAAGCGAGGAGGAGGCUCCUUUAGUUAAUACCUAAAGUGAGUGGACGUUACUCGCAGAAUAAGCACCGGCUAACUCUGUGCCAGCAGCCGCGGUAAUACAGAGGGUGCGAGCGUUAAUCGGAUUUACUGGGCGUAAAGCGUGCGUAGGCGGCUUUUUAAGUCGGAUGUGAAAUCCCUGAGCUUAACUUAGGAAUUGCAUUCGAUACUGGAGAGCUAGAGUAUGGGAGAGGAUGGUAGAAUUCCAGGUGUAGCGGUGAAAUGCGUAGAGAUCUGGAGGAAUACCGAUGGCGAAGGCAGCCAUCUGGCCUAAUACUGACGCUGAGGUACGAAAGCAUGGGGAGCAAA
Molecule: ribosomal RNA, 428 nt
Filed under: uncultured Acinetobacter sp.
Lineage: Bacteria; Pseudomonadati; Pseudomonadota; Gammaproteobacteria; Moraxellales; Moraxellaceae
Description: bacterial SSU rRNA
Rfam family: Bacterial small subunit ribosomal RNA
Source: RNAcentral